ACAGAGGCCAUUUAUGACCUUAGAGGUGUGCCCCUCGAACCAUUUGAGGUGCGCGCCCUCUUUUUUACUGGGUUGGGGUUUUUAACCCUUCAACCCCAGGACUCUUUAGCCUAAAUUCCCCAUUCCCAACUUAUUCUCUCAAGACCAAUUCCUCAUCUCCUCUUCUAGAACACACACUCUUUACUCACUCUCAAAUUACUUGGGCAUUGUACAAAAGAGUGCAUUACAACAACAACCCCCAACCUCGGAACUCUUUGGCCCAAAUUCCCCAUUCCCAAGUUAUUCUCUCAAGACCAAUUCCUCAUCUCCUCUUCUAGAACACACACUCUUUACUCACUUUCAAAUUUACUUGGGCAUUGUACAAAAGAGUGCAUUACAACAACAACACACAAGUUAUAACCACUUUUCUCCACAAAAAUUCAAGAAGAGUAAGGUAAAUUGGCCACACUUCAAGUUUAUCUUUUUACCAUUUUUUUUCUUUACUUUCCUUGGGAAUUUGAUAAAAACUAUGAAAUAAAUGGAGAUUAGGCUUAGGUAGUGAAUGGAUUGUAGCUAUGUUGUGAUUUUUUCUGGAUUGUCCACUUUGAGUUAAUUAUUCUUGGAAUUUUUAAGUAUGUACAUAUAGUGUUUGAUAUAAUGCCUCUAUGAAGCGUUUGGUGGAAGUUGUACACCAUGUUUUCACACAAUUCAAUAGUUUUACAUAGAUUAACACCCCCUCAUAUCCUUGCAUUCUGAAAGAAUCUUGAUUUGCAUUAAUUUGGAAAAAGACGUAAGUUUUAACAUGUGUUUUCCAAUUUUUCCAGCUUGCGGCCGUAGGUUGCAGCCACAGUCCCUGCAUUGCGUCCCCUACUUCUCAGCAUCAAGUCUUGUACAUCCGGCUCCCAUUUUCCUAUCCAUUAUGUCAUCUUUGGACUCAUUAGAGCUAUUAUGUCAUAUACUUGGACAAAUACUUGAUUUUCUCAUGUUUCACAAGAGUGGCACCAAAAAGGAAAGAUGCCCCUACGUCCUCCAAAGAAAAGGGCAAAGUCUCUACAUCCAAUACCACAGCACGCACUCAUGUCGAUGACAGAGGCAUGAGGAGAUUCCAGAGUUUGGAUCAUAAGACGAUAUUUGAUAGCAUCUUGGCCAAGAGGAAGAUGUGGCUAGAAAGACAACUAAUAUUGGAGGAUUUUAAGGAUUAUGAAAUUGAGAUUUUUAUACAUAGAGCAUGAUGGGCACAUGUGAUUGCAAAACCAUGGGAGAUUUACCCUACUUUGGUACAUGAGUUCUAUGCAAAUUUCAAUCGCUAGAUUGACAAUCCUGGGACAGAGUGUGAACAUUACACUUGGGUAUGAGACAAGUGGGUUUUGUUCUUCAUAAGGUUAUUGGAGCAUAAUAUGGAUACAGUUAUCUACUUGCUUAAUAGGAGAGUAGAUGCAGGGGAUGUGGAUAAUGAAUUUGAGCACAAUAUGCUAACCCAAUCUUUUACUAUAUUGAUGAAGUUCAUUUGUCACAAUAUCGAGCAUACCGCCCAUUUGAUUACAUCAACCUUUGCAAAAGCGGGGUUGCUAUUUCACUUGGCCGGGGACUUGAAGAUCGACUUAGGCACGUUCAUAUAUAAUCAGAUUUGUGGGUUUGCUAUCAAGCUAGAGCAUUACUAGACAUUAAUUUUUUCCGACCUCAGCAAGGGGAUUUUCAGAUCUUUUGGGGUCAGCUUCUUUCUGCGAAGCAGUUGACUUGGGCCAGUGUUGCUAUUAAUUGUAAGAUAGCAGAUCAUUUUUGGAGAGCUAUCAUACGAAGCAGACAGUAUCAGCAGUAGGAGGAGGUAGCUGAAGGAUAUGGGGAUGCCACCCAAUUUUCUCAGCAACCACAUCCAAACCCUACUGUCAAUCAUCCAUUCAUGCGAUGGUUAUUUGCUAGUUCGACUAAGACCAUCCAAAGAAUUCAGGACAUUCUGCAGUCACUUGGAGCUUGCACUUAAGAGUUCAAAGUAUAGAGAAGACUGCUCAAGGCAUACAAGGUGAUGUGAAUGUGAUACGUUUUGAUGCGUCCAGUACGAAUAGAAGGAACGACAUGCUUAGGAAGAGUAUAAAUAGAUACUCAGGACGGAUUGACGAGCUGAACAUCGAGUUGAUCAGACUAAUGAUCUAGUUUUGAGACAUCCAAGGCCAGGUUGAUGAGACAUAUGACAUGGUAUGCUGCAUGCAGGUUGGUUGGAUCAGACAUACAAUUUGAAGCAAAAGAUUCUCUCGCGUAAGCCUCCAUCAUCAUCUUUAGAUCCACGAGGCUCGGGAGCAUUCCAUCCAUUUUCACCACCACCUUCAGACUAACCAGUGGAGUUCUCAGGUAUCCUCUUUGCCUUUCUUUUUUGCAUUACUAAUAUCAUAUUAUUGUACAUUGAGGGGAAUGCACAAGUUAAGUUUUGUGAUAGAUGGUUUUAUCAUUGAUUUUGUAUAGUUUACUGCUUUUGUUAUGUUUGUCGAUUGUUUAAAAAAAACCAACCUGCAAUGAAUAGGGAAGGUAUGGUAAUGCUAUGAAUGACCUAGUAUCGAAUACUGGUAAUAAUAUCAGCAAAAGAACGUUCUCGUGUGCUUCCAGACAUGCUCUCCUUUAUGCUUUUAUAUCUCUUUUCUGUACUUGUGUGGGUUUGAUAGUCUUAUUGAAUAGAG
Molecule: long non-coding RNA, 2648 nt
Filed under: Olea europaea subsp. europaea
Lineage: Eukaryota; Viridiplantae; Streptophyta; Magnoliopsida; Lamiales; Oleaceae
Source: RNAcentral